Molecule: small nucleolar RNA, 65 nt
Organism: Anoplopoma fimbria (sablefish)
Lineage: Eukaryota; Metazoa; Chordata; Actinopteri; Perciformes; Anoplopomatidae
Product: small nucleolar RNA SNORD82
Exons: 1
Source: RefSeq, a predicted model, not a curated record
AUCAUGAUGAUCAACAAGGGACUUAAUACUGAUAUGUGAUGUCACCUUUAUUAUUCUGAAUCUGA